Molecule: transfer RNA, 95 nt
Filed under: Mycolicibacterium agri
Lineage: Bacteria; Bacillati; Actinomycetota; Actinomycetes; Mycobacteriales; Mycobacteriaceae
Description: tRNA-Ile
Source: RNAcentral
UCGACCACCGGGUCGCGCUGGGCGACGGCGCGCAGGUUGAUGCCCUCCUUGAGGUAGUCCAUCUCGUAGAGGUGCUCGCGCCACUUGCGGUCGAU